This 492-nucleotide ribosomal RNA is filed under the name uncultured bacterium. RNAcentral describes it as "partial 16S ribosomal RNA". It matches the Rfam family "Bacterial small subunit ribosomal RNA", at positions 29 to 507 of the family's 1533-position model. The record is from RNAcentral.
AGUGAACGCUGGCGGUAGGCCUAACACAUGCAAGUCGAACGGCAGCACAGUAAGAGCUUGCUCUUACGGGUGGCGAGUGGCGGACGGGUGAGGAAUACAUCGGAAUCUACUUUUUCAUGGGGGAUAACGUAGGGAAACUUACGCUAAUACCGCAUACGACCUACGGGUGAAAGCAGGGGAUCUUCGGACCUUGCGCGAUUGAAUGAGCCGAUGUCGGAUUAGCUAGUUGGCGGGGUAAAGGCCCACCAAGGCGACGAUCCGUAGCUGGUCUGAGAGGAUGAUCAGCCACACUGGAACUGAGACACGGUCCAGACUCCUACGGGAGGCAGCAGUGGGGAAUAUUGGACAAUGGGCGCAAGCCUGAUCCAGCCAUACCGCGUGGGUGAAGAAGGCCUUCGGGUUGUAAAGCCCUUUUGUUGGGAAAGAAAAGCAGCAGGUUAAUACCCCGCUGUUCUGACAGUACCCAAAGAAUAAGCACCGGCUAACUUCGUG